This 253-nucleotide ribosomal RNA is filed under the name uncultured bacterium. Its description in RNAcentral is "partial 16S ribosomal RNA". It matches the Rfam family "Bacterial small subunit ribosomal RNA", at positions 524 to 776 of the family's 1533-position model. The record is from RNAcentral.
UACGAAGGGGGCUAGCGUUGCUCGGAAUCACUGGGCGUAAAGCGCACGUAGGCGGAUUGUUAAGUCGGGGGUGAAAUCCUGGAGCUCAACUCCAGAACUGCCUUCGAUACUGGCGAUCUUGAGUCCGGGAGAGAUGAGUGGAACUGCGAGUGUAGAGGUGAAAUUCGUAGAUAUUCGCAAGAACACCAGUGGCGAAGGCGGCUCACUGGCCCGGUACUGACGCUGAGGUGCGAAAGCGUGGGGAGCAAACAGG